This 253-nucleotide ribosomal RNA is filed under the name uncultured bacterium. RNAcentral's name for it is "partial 16S ribosomal RNA". It matches the Rfam family "Bacterial small subunit ribosomal RNA", at positions 524 to 776 of the family's 1533-position model. The record is from RNAcentral.
UACGUAGGGCGCAAGCGUUGUCCGGAAUUAUUGGGCGUAAAGCGUGCGCAGGCGGUUUUGUAAGCCAGAUGUGAAAUCCCCGGGCUUAACCUGGGAAUGGCAUUUGGGACUGCAAGGCUUGAGUGCGGCAGAGGGAGGUGGAAUUCCACGUGUAGCAGUGAAAUGCGUAGAGAUGUGGAGGAACACCGAUGGCGAAGGCAGCCUCCUGGGCCAGCACUGACGCUCAUGCACGAAAGCGUGGGGAGCAAACAGG